RNAcentral lists this ribosomal RNA (450 nucleotides) under uncultured bacterium. RNAcentral's name for it is "partial 16S ribosomal RNA". It matches the Rfam family "Bacterial small subunit ribosomal RNA", at positions 354 to 796 of the family's 1533-position model. The record is from RNAcentral.
GUGGGGAAUUUUGGACAAUGGGCGCAAGCCUGAUCCAGCAAUGCCGCGUGCAGGAAGAAGGCCUUCGGGUUGUAAACUGCUUUUGUACGGAACGAAACGGUUCUCUCUAAUACAGGGGGCUAAUGACGGUACCGUAAGAAUAAGCACCGGCUAACUACGUGCCAGCAGCCGCGGUAAUACGUAGGGUGCAAGCGUUAAUCGGAAUUACUGGGCGUAAAGCGUGCGCAGGCGGUUUUGUAAGACAGAGGUGAAAUCCCCGGGCUCAACCUGGGAAUUGCCUUUGUGACUGCAAGGCUGGAGUGCGGCAGAGGGGGAUGGAAGUCCGCGUGUAGCAGUGAAAUGCGUAGAUAUGCGGAGGAACACCGAUGGCGAAGGCAAUCCCCUGGGCCUGCACUGACGCUCAUGCACGAAAGCGUGGGGAGCAAACAGGAUUAGAUACCCCUGUAGUCC